AAAACGCAAAUCCUUUUCAGCAGACCUUUCUGACCUCUCCUCAACAGCGACUGGUAACUUUAUUAUUCUGUAAAUUUUCAUGAUUUUAAUUCAGCAAAACAAAAGCUAUUGCUUCUAUUUUAUUCUUCAUUUAUCCUAUACAGAAAUGCAACAAAUCCAAUCGCAUACAAAACCACAACAGAUAGGCAUCUCAAAUUCUCAAUUCUUAUUAUUUAAAUCCAAAUACCCAACACUUUGACCCACGCAUAAUCUAAUGCCUACAGGAAUAAUUCUUCUUAUCUAAAACAAAUAAAAUGAAAUUAGAUACAUAGAGAGGGAUUAGAGACAAAAUUGGCUGCUGGCGAAGAGUAGGCAGGGGAAGCGCCACAACGCCGCUGCUGUCACGGCGGUGCUGUUGCUGUGCAUUGUCGUCCGAGAGAUGAAGGCGCAACGGCGGUUGCUCGCCGGAGGCGGCGGCAGUUCCGAGAGAGCGGACGAGAGAGAAGAGAGUGAUGAGGGUUCUAUGGGUAAUGUGUGCGUGCGUGCGUGCGUGAGUUUUUUUGUGUGUGAAUGGGCUCAAGUCUUGGGCUCAACCAUUGGACCUUAAUUAAACUGAUGGAUUGGCUUAAUCUAUUUAGUUAAGGGCCCAAGCUUUAAAUUCAUUUAUUUGAGCUUUUGUAAUUAACUAAUAAACAAAUAUUGGACUCUAAGUUAUUGCAGAAUCCCUAUAAGAAAAAUUUGUACGUAUGAGUAUUUUAUUUUAUUUCAUUUACUGGGUCAAUGAUAUUAAAAAUUUUAUAAAGAAUUUACAAAAAAUUACUCAGUUUUAAUUUAAUUAUUUAUUAGGCCGAAGCGGGCGCUAUUAAUACGUGGAUUUUGAUUAGAAUUUACUAGUAUUAGCC
RNAcentral lists this long non-coding RNA (881 nucleotides) under Salvia miltiorrhiza (redroot sage). RNAcentral describes it as "long non-coding RNA (SMIL_LNC002308)". Lineage: Eukaryota; Viridiplantae; Streptophyta; Magnoliopsida; Lamiales; Lamiaceae. The record is from RNAcentral.